RNAcentral lists this long non-coding RNA (561 nucleotides) under Physcomitrium patens. RNAcentral describes it as "long non-coding RNA (PPAT_LNC000663)". The record is from RNAcentral. Lineage: Eukaryota; Viridiplantae; Streptophyta; Bryopsida; Funariales; Funariaceae.
GCCAAAGACUAUAAAACAUGAAGACUCUUGAAACUAGACUGGAAACAAGAAAGGAGUUGACAAGAGUGAAGAAGGCUUCAUUCUUGUAUCUAUAUAUACUAUCUAACUAGGGGCUACGUGGCGAUAUUCUAUAAGACCUCCAAUAUGUGUUGACUUUGUAGGAAACAUGCCUUGACUUAUAAGGCAAGUUUUUCUAUGUGUGGGCCACAUUGUUAACUUGAUCUUCAAGCUAACAACAUGUGUAGCACAUGGCCACCUUGUUGACGACGUUUCUAAUCCAAAAAAUCAAUUAAAGACACCUAUAAAGUCAAAGCAGCCUCUAUGAAGCUUCUAGGAAGCUUUCAUAUCAAAUACUAUAGAAUUAAUUUACUUUUAUCUACUUUUACUUACUUCUACUUCUUUAUAUAUGUAAUAACUAGCUUACAUGAGUAUGUCCAUGUGUCACGGACAUAGAAAUAUAGACUUGAGAUCUAACAAGAAGUUCAAGAAGAACUGGCAAGAACUAGAUUAAUCAGAUGAAUACAAGAACAACACCAGAGAGGUGAGCUAGAGCUCCAAGAG